GUGCUCAUUAUGCAAAAUAAUUCAUAACACAUCAUUUAUCAGAAGAUUAAUGAUCUGAAUCUGUAAAGUAAAUAAAGCUGUCAGAUAAAAGUAGUACAGCAAAAAGUACUAUAUAUACCUUUGAGGUGUAGUAGAUCAAUAAAGUAGCAGAACAUGGAAGUAUUCUAAUAAAGUACUGGAGUAAAUGUACUUUCUCGCGGAGUGGAGGAGGCGGAGUGAGACCUCCUCAUGUUGUCAGUGCUGCCCCCUAACGAACCGGAGAAGAAGAACGAACACGCCGUUUACCGUUGGUGUUCCAGCGGGUUAGAAACAAGAUGGCGACCAUCAGCAGGCGCGAUGUCGACCGGAUCUACUCGCUGGUGUUACUGGCUGUGGUGGUCUUGUCCUGGUCCUAUGUGAUCCACGCCAGUAGGAUCGCAGCUCAUUGGCUGCUGGAGGAGAGGACCGCCCUCCAGCAGCAGCACUGACAGCCCAUUGGCUGCUGGAGGAGGGUGUUGUUCUCCUUCAAGACAAUCAGAACCCUGAGACAUGCUGGUCUCCUUCAAGAAGACAAUCAGAACCCUGAGACAUGCUGGUCUCCUUCAAGAAGACAAUCAGAACCCUGAGACAUGCUGGUCUCCUUCAUGAAGACAAUCAGAACCCUGAGACAUGCUGGUCUCCUUUAUGAAGACAAUCAGAACCCUGAGACAUGCUGGUCUCCUUCAAGAAGACAAUCAGAACCCUGAGACAUGCUGGUCUCCUUCAAGAAGACAAUCAGAACCCUGAGACAUGCUGGUCUCCUUUAUGAAGACAAUCAGAACCCUGAGACAUGCUGGUCUCCUUUAUGAAGACAAUCAGAACCCUGAGACAUGCUGGUCUCCUUCAUGAAGACAAUCAGAACCCUGAGACAUGCUGGUCUCCUUUAUGAAGACAAUCAGAACCCUGAGACAUGCUGGUCUCCUUCAUGAAGACAAUCAGAACCCUGAGACAUGCUGGUCUCCUUCAAGAAGACAAUCAGAACCCUGAGACGUGGAUCUUCUAUAUGUUAUUGAUAUUAAAGAAGAUAAAGCUAACGUCACAGAACCACACUAACUGUUUCCAGUCUUUAUGUGAACGUCUGAGAAUAAAAUGUUAUUUAUAAAGAAUAUCAUGUUUUAUUUAGUGUUGUGUGUUCUGGUUUUGUUUUCACUUUGAUAUUAAAGAGCCUGGUUUCCUGCGCUGUGA
Long non-coding RNA from Cyclopterus lumpus (lumpfish), 1203 nucleotides. RefSeq lists it as uncharacterized. The transcript is spliced from 3 exons. Lineage: Eukaryota; Metazoa; Chordata; Actinopteri; Perciformes; Cyclopteridae. The record is from RefSeq and is a predicted model, not a curated record.